AGGUGGUCUGGCUAUGACAUCUGUCACCCAUUGAUCACCAGGGCUGAUCUGGCUGGUGAGGCAGGUGAGAGGAUGACCUUCCUGAGAGUGUCCACUGUUCUUAGGUCAAGGGUGUGCAAGCAGCCGUGCUCCCCUGCUAGAACUUCCAAACAGACAGUCCAAAAGAACAGGAUUAUGGGAAACGUGAGAGAUAAAAGCCUCUGGGUUUAGGGACGUUACCUAGAGAGUUCAUGUGUCAUGACUG
RNAcentral lists this small nuclear RNA (244 nucleotides) under Ictidomys tridecemlineatus (thirteen-lined ground squirrel). Its description in RNAcentral is "Spermophilus tridecemlineatus (thirteen-lined ground squirrel) 7SK RNA". It matches the Rfam family "7SK RNA". Rfam says of the family: 7SK was discovered as an abundant small nuclear RNA in the mid-70s but a possible function has only recently been suggested. The record is from Rfam by way of RNAcentral. Lineage: Eukaryota; Metazoa; Chordata; Mammalia; Rodentia; Sciuridae.